CACGUAGGGUGCGAGCGUUGUCCGGAAUUAUUGGGCGUAAAGAGCUCGUAGGCGGUCUGUCGCGUCGGCUGUGAAAACUCGGGGCUCAACCCCGAGCCUGCAGUCGAUACGGGCAGACUAGAGUGCUGUAGGGGAGACUGGAAUUCCUGGUGUAGCGGUGAAAUGCGCAGAUAUCAGGAGGAACACCGGUGGCGAAGGCGGGUCUCUGGGCAGUAACUGACGCUGAGGAGCGAAAGCGUGGGGAGCGAACAGG
RNAcentral lists this ribosomal RNA (253 nucleotides) under uncultured bacterium. RNAcentral's name for it is "partial 16S ribosomal RNA". It matches the Rfam family "Bacterial small subunit ribosomal RNA", at positions 524 to 776 of the family's 1533-position model. The record is from RNAcentral.